ACGCUUUCUUGGUGUUCUUGUUGGAGAUGGGCGGCUGGGUGGUAUAUCUGGAACUGUUUCAGCUUAUGAGAGUUUGAAACUAUGAGGUUAUGAUGUUGUUGUUAUUGUUAUUGAAGAUCAUGGCCUUGCAAAUGAAAUACUAUUAAUGUCAUAUUUGCGUACGAGAGUGCCUAUGUUUGUGCUGCCACCCAUUCCACAAGACCCAUCAAAUGACCUAAUGGAAUGGUUUGAUGAAUCUUGCAAUGUAUUUAAUUAUUU
Long non-coding RNA from Hibiscus syriacus, 258 nucleotides. RefSeq lists it as uncharacterized. Lineage: Eukaryota; Viridiplantae; Streptophyta; Magnoliopsida; Malvales; Malvaceae. The record is from RefSeq and is a predicted model, not a curated record. The transcript is spliced from 2 exons.